CCCUUAGAUGUUCUGGGCCGCACGCGCGCUACACUGAUGCAUUCAACGAGCCUAUCCUUGACCGACAGGUCCGGGUAAUCUUUGAAUCUGCAUCGUGACGGGGAUAGAUUAUUGCAAUUAUUGAUCUUCAACGAGGAAUGCCUAGUAGGCGCAAGUCAUCAGCUUGCGUCGAUUACGUCCCUGCCCUUUGUACACACCGCCCGUCGCUCCUACCGAUUGGGUGUGCUGGUGAAAUGUUCGGAUCGGCCGUUUGUCGCGGUUUCCGCGGCUCGUGGCUGAGAAGUUCAUUAAACCCUCCCACCUAGAGGAAGGAGAAGUCGUAACA
RNAcentral lists this ribosomal RNA (325 nucleotides) under uncultured eukaryote. RNAcentral's name for it is "partial 18S ribosomal RNA". It matches the Rfam family "Eukaryotic small subunit ribosomal RNA", at positions 1470 to 1796 of the family's 1831-position model. The record is from RNAcentral.